RNAcentral lists this ribosomal RNA (449 nucleotides) under uncultured bacterium. RNAcentral's name for it is "partial 16S ribosomal RNA". It matches the Rfam family "Bacterial small subunit ribosomal RNA", at positions 29 to 523 of the family's 1533-position model. The record is from RNAcentral.
AGCGAACGCUGGCGGCAGGCCUAACACAUGCAAGUCGAACGAACUCUUCGGAGUUAGUGGCGGACGGGUGAGUAACACGUGGGAACGUGCCUUUAGGUUCGGAAUAACUCAGGGAAACUUGUGCUAAUACCGAAUGUGCCCUUCGGGGGAAAGAUUUAUCGCCUUUAGAGCGGCCCGCGUCUGAUUAGCUAGUUGAUGAGGUAAAGGCUCACCAAGGCGACGAUCAGUAGCUGGUCUAAGAGGAUGAUCAGCCACAUUGGGACUGAGACACGGCCCAAACUCCUACGGGAGGCAGCAGUGGGGAAUCUUGCGCAAUGGGCGAAAGCCUGACGCAGCCAUGCCGCGUGAAUGAUGAAGGUCUUAGGAUUGUAAAAUUCUUUCACCGGGGACGAUAAUGACGGUACCCGGAGAAGAAGCCCCGGCUAACUUCGUGCCAGCCGCCGCAGUAA